AUAGACAAAGAAAGAAAAACUCUACCAAAGGUUAUAUGAUUAAGACCAAUGUGAAAAUAUCGAGAAAAAAUAUGGUCUUGUAGGGCUAGGUUUAAACCAGAAUUUAUAGAAAAAUUAAAAGAUUCCCUAAGUGUAGCUAAAAUUUCAUUAUCUUCUUGAUUAAAAGAUAGGACUUUAGCUAUAGGAAAGGGUUGGUUUUGACGUAUUGCAAUCAACUCCGGACACAGAUCAUAAUUAGGGGCAAAGAAGGGACUUGUUGACUCCCAUGGUCUAUGGCUGGUCUCCGAAGGUGCAAAGAAUUCAAUAAUAGGUAUGGAAUUUGUGUUAUCCAUAAAGAUGGAAAAAAUAAAAAGAUAAAAGAAU
This 363-nucleotide long non-coding RNA is filed under the name Sorghum bicolor (sorghum). RNAcentral describes it as "long non-coding RNA (SBIC_LNC008651)". The record is from RNAcentral. Lineage: Eukaryota; Viridiplantae; Streptophyta; Magnoliopsida; Poales; Poaceae.